UUGAAACAUUAAGGAUGUUAGCCUUCUAG
Molecule: non-coding RNA, 29 nt
Filed under: Mus musculus (house mouse)
Lineage: Eukaryota; Metazoa; Chordata; Mammalia; Rodentia; Muridae
Source: RNAcentral